Molecule: non-coding RNA, 181 nt
Filed under: Cycloclasticus sp.
Lineage: Bacteria; Pseudomonadati; Pseudomonadota; Gammaproteobacteria; Thiotrichales; Piscirickettsiaceae
Description: 6S RNA
Rfam family: 6S / SsrS RNA
About the family: E. coli 6S RNA was the first non coding RNA to be sequenced, but its function was unknown until recently. It consists of 184 nucleotides that fold into an extended hairpin structure with a large single-stranded internal bulge.
Source: RNAcentral
CGUUCCCUGCAGUGUUCGAGAUAAGGCGAAUUGCCCUUGGACCUAAUAACCUACCCGGGAAGACAGAUCAUUUUGUUGGUGUGCACGCUCUUUUUUAGAGAAGCCUAAUGCAAAUGUCCGAGUCCCACUUAAACUCUCCGGUUUAAGGUAGAAACCUGAAUACGGCGCUAGCGGGGAACGU